This 451-nucleotide ribosomal RNA is filed under the name bacterium AER22/23A. RNAcentral describes it as "bacterial SSU rRNA". It matches the Rfam family "Bacterial small subunit ribosomal RNA", at positions 83 to 532 of the family's 1533-position model. The record is from RNAcentral.
UUUUAACGAAAAGUGGCGCACGGGUGCGUAACGCGUAUGCAACCUACCUUAAUCAGGGGGAUAGCCCGGAGAAAUUCGGAUUAACACCGCAUAAAAUCACAGCAUAGCAUUAUGCAAUGAUCAAAUAUUUAUAGGAUUAAGAUGGGCAUGCGUGACAUUAGUUAGUUGGCGGGGUAACGGCCCACCAAGACCACGAUGUCUAGGGGAUCUGAGAGGAUGACCCCCCACACUGGUACUGAGACACGGACCAGACUCCUACGGGAGGCAGCAGUAAGGAAUAUUGGUCAAUGGAGGCAACUCUGAACCAGCCAUGCCGCGUGCAGGAAGACAGCCCUCUGGGUCGUAAACUGCUUUUAUUCGGGAAUAAACCCAUCUACGUGUAGAUGGCUGAAUGUACCGAAGGAAUAAGGAUCGGCUAACUCCGUGCCAGCAGCCGCGGUAAUACGGAGGU